UGUGGUUUAAUUCGAUGAUACGCGAGGAACCUUACCAAGGCUUAAAUGGGAAUUGACAGGUUUAGAAAUAGACUUUUCUUCGGACAAUUUUCAAGGUGCUGCAUGGUUGUCGUCAGCUCGUGCCGUGAGGUGUUAGGUUAAGUCCUGCAACGAGCGCAACCCCUGUCACUAGUUGCCAUCAUUCAGUUGGGGACUCUAGUGAGACUGCCUACGCAAGUAGAGAGGAAGGUGGGGAUGACGUCAAAUCAUCACGGCCCUUACGCCUUGGGCCACACACGUAAUACAAUGGCCAGUACAGAGGGCAGCUACCAGGCGACUGGAUGCGAAUCUCGAAAGCUGGUCUCAGUUCGGAUUGGAGUCUGCAACUCGACUCUAUGAAGCUGGAAUCGCUAGUAAUCGCGCAUCAGCCAUGGCGCGGUGAAUACGUUCCCGGGCCUUGUACACACCGCC
RNAcentral lists this ribosomal RNA (450 nucleotides) under uncultured Flavobacteriia bacterium. Its description in RNAcentral is "bacterial SSU rRNA". It matches the Rfam family "Bacterial small subunit ribosomal RNA", at positions 940 to 1394 of the family's 1533-position model. Lineage: Bacteria; Pseudomonadati; Bacteroidota; Flavobacteriia. The record is from RNAcentral.